AGGUCAAGGUCAAAUAAAACCUGCGCUACUGACAUAUAGAUCAUAAAAUAUUUCCAUACACCAAAUAUAGUUGAUUUAUGGCAUAUAGUAUUAGAUAAAAACACCAAAUCACAAAAACUUUACUUUGACCACUGAACCAUGAAAAUUAAGUCAAGUCAGAUGACACCUGCUAGUUGGACAUGUACACCUUACAGUCCUUCCAUACACCGAAUAUACUAGACCUAUUGCUUAUAGUAUCUCAGAUAUGGACUUGACCACCAAAACUUAACCUUGUUCACUGAUCCAUGAAAUGAG
This 294-nucleotide long non-coding RNA is filed under the name Mytilus galloprovincialis (Mediterranean mussel). Lineage: Eukaryota; Metazoa; Mollusca; Bivalvia; Mytilida; Mytilidae. The record is from RNAcentral.